This 497-nucleotide ribosomal RNA is filed under the name uncultured bacterium. RNAcentral's name for it is "partial 16S ribosomal RNA". It matches the Rfam family "Bacterial small subunit ribosomal RNA", at positions 28 to 507 of the family's 1533-position model. The record is from RNAcentral.
GAUGAACGCUGGCGGCGUGCCUAAUACAUGCAAGUCGAGCGAACAGAUAAGGAGCUUGCUCCUUUGACGUUAGCGGCGGACGGGUGAGUAACACGUGGGUAACCUACCUAUAAGACUGGGAUAACUUCGGGAAACCGGAGCUAAUACCGGAUAAUAUUUCGAACCGCAUGGUUCGAUAGUGAAAGAUGGUUUUGCUAUCACUUAUAGAUGGACCCGCGCCGUAUUAGCUAGUUGGUAAGGUAACGGCUUACCAAGGCGACGAUACGUAGCCGACCUGAGAGGGUGAUCGGCCACACUGGAACUGAGACACGGUCCAGACUCCUACGGGAGGCAGCGGUAGGGAAUCUUCCGCAAUGGGCGAAAGCCUGACGGAGCAACGCCGCGUGAGUGAUGAAGGUCUUCGGAUCGUAAAACUCUGUUAUUAGGGAAGAACAUACGUGUAAGUAACUGUGCACGUCUUGACGGUACCUAAUCAGAAAGCCACGGCUAACUACGUG